Molecule: ribosomal RNA, 468 nt
Filed under: uncultured bacterium
Lineage: Bacteria
Description: partial 16S ribosomal RNA
Rfam family: Bacterial small subunit ribosomal RNA
Source: RNAcentral
GACGAACGCUGGCGGCGUGCUUAACACAUGCAAGUCGAACGGAAAGGCCCUGCUUUUGUGGGGUGCUCGAGUGGCGAACGGGUGAGUAACACGUGAGUAACCUGCCCUUGACUUUGGGAUAACUUCAGGAAACUGGGGCUAAUACCGGAUAGGAGCUCCUGCUGCAUGGUGGGGGUUGGAAAGUUUCGGCGGUUGGGGAUUGACUCGCGGCUUAUCAGCUUGUUGGUGGGGUAGUGGCUUACCAAGGCUUUGACGGGUAGCCGGCCUGCGAGGGUGACCGGCCACAUUGGGACUGAGAUACGGCCCAGACUCCUACGGGAGGCAGCGGUGGGGAAUAUUGCACAAUGGGCGGAAGCCUGAUGCAGCAACGCCGCGUGCGGGAUGACGGCCUUCGGGUUGUAAACCGCUUUCGCCUGUGACGAAGCGUGAGUGACGGUAAUGGGUAAAGAAGCACCGGCUAACUACGUG